CGCGGAGUCUGACAAGAAGGAGGUGGAAAGAGAAGUCAAGAACAGCAACCAGAGCAGCUCUGAUGCACACUGAGGCAGGUUUUUAUCAUGAAAAAGCCCGAUUUUAAUCACAGCAGUCUCCAGUAAAUCGGUCACAAAGGGCGUUGGCUGGACAGGAGCAGGUCUGAGCACAGAACGGACCAAAGCGUCCUGGACCGCAGGCUGGAAAACACAACGUAUAAAUCACAUCUGUGCAGGUGACUCCCCAGAAACCUGGACGACAAACACAAGCUCCAGUUUCCCUCAGACACGUGUCGCUGUUGGGGCAAUGCUUGAAGCAGGUCUGGUUACAGUGGCGCCCCCACAGGCCGUCCGAACACGGCUCGCUGCAGCGCGGACCUGGACCCAAAGAAGCAUCACAGCGCGGUGCAGCGAGAAUAAAAGCGAAGGAGGAUGCUUUAAAACCUGUGGCUCCCUCAGUCCUGCUGGACCAGACUUAUCUGUGAUACCCAAGCCAAGCUGGCAGCGACAGCAGCAGGACGUCAUCACUUACCCCACCAGCCUGGCAGACAGCGACACUCCCCGGUGGCAGCUUGGCAGCCGUCGGCAUGAACACAGUCGCACCUCUUCAGGCAGCCAGGCCCAAACGUGCCCAUCUGCACAGUGAACAAGAGCCAACGAGCAAAGAAUCGUCAGGGGAAUCUCUUCAGUGCUCGGCCAGCUCGGUCAGAGUCUGACAAAAUACUACACUGGCAGCGUGUUGCUGUGUGGACAGCCUGGUGUGUUGGCGUGGACGAGGACAAGAGGGCGACGGAUCCAAAACGCAGAUUAAAACAUACAGAGUUUGAGGUGACGGAAGAGAAGCUGCAGUCAGAGCUGACGUCCUGUAAAUUUAUCACAUCGUGAUUUGUGUUGUAGCUUCACAUUUCAUUUGUCUCCUCAACUUGAUAUGAAACAAAAACAACAAUAGUGCAUUUGUCUAAUCUUCUAAAGAUAGUGAUGUUUGUAUUUACUUCUUUUACAAGGUGACAUCUGUUUCCAUGCAGUGCAGUGGCUGCAGUCCAGCAGUUAAAGUGAGAGCAGAUUAACACAUAAAACGGCUAUUUUGCAUUAUGUUUAUCAUAUUUUACACUGUAAAUUUAUAUGUAGCAUAUUAUAUCCAAUCUAUAUAUAGUUUCCUGCUUACAUUCAUGUGUAAUAUUGUAUUUCCAGGUGCAAUAUUUCAUUUCCCUGUGCAAUGUUUUAAUAUAAGUGCAAAAUUGUAUUUUCACUUGCAAUAUUUUAUUUAAAUAGGAAAUAUUUCAAUAUAUGUGCAACAUUCUAUUUAUAUGUGCAAUGUUUACUUAUAAUGUGCAAUAUUUCAUUUCCAUGUAGAAAAUAAAAUUUUCAUGUGAAUGCUACAUUUUAUUUAAAUAUGUAAUAUUUCAGUAUAUGUAGAAUGUUUUCAUGAUAUUGUUUUCAAAUUCAUGUGCAAUAUUUUAAUUUCAGAUGGAAUAUUUCAUUCUAAUGUGCAAUAUUUCAUUUAAUUGUUUCAUAAUAUAGUAAUAUUUCAAUGUCUGUGCAAUAUUUCACUUUCCAUAAUAUACGUAAAUGUUACAGCUUUUUUAUUAGACACUGCAUUCAUUCUCAUGUUCUGUUUUUUUGUCUCACUAACAUUUGGCACAAGAAUUUCCUUCAAGAUUAAUAAAGUUUUUGUCGUAUUUUGCCUUAUCUUGUAUAUUCUCAAGCAUCUUGAGCACAAAAAUUGCCCAGUCAAGAGCUAAUUUGACCUUUUAUUUAUUGUAUGGACUGACACUUUUUGUUGUUGUUGUUGUUUUGUUCCAUACACUAAACUACACUCACAGUGAUGUAAGGAAUGUAACAGAUUUUUGUUAAGAUCCCUGUUGGAGAUUAUUGUAUCAUCCAAAACAGUCAUAAAGCAUCACUAAAAGCAUUGUGUGUA
Acanthochromis polyacanthus (spiny chromis) is the source of this 1921-nucleotide long non-coding RNA. RefSeq lists it as uncharacterized. The record is from RefSeq and is a predicted model, not a curated record. Lineage: Eukaryota; Metazoa; Chordata; Actinopteri; Pomacentridae. The transcript has 4 exons.